GGUCAAAUGUGUGCUCAAUGGUGGAUUGAAAAAAGAGGUUGUAGCUGACCAAUCAAAAAGAAAAAGAAGAUUGAAACGUGAAAGAAAAUCAGAGCAAGCAAGUUCGUGUAGUUAUAAACAGCCAAAAGACUCACAGCAUGUUAUACCUGAAGAAUGUACUCAGGAAGUUUAUGAGAAAACUGAAAAUCUACCCUUUGAUGGUCAAGAAAUUUAUACCAGUCUGUUAAAGUCAAUGCAUGCUAUUGUUCCUGUUGACAACCAGUACAAAGCAUUUUUAAUGCAAGACUACAACAUGUGUAAGAAGAUG
Long non-coding RNA from Mytilus californianus (California mussel), 307 nucleotides. RefSeq lists it as uncharacterized. The record is from RefSeq and is a predicted model, not a curated record. The transcript has 3 exons. NCBI's taxonomy places the organism in Eukaryota, Metazoa, Mollusca, Bivalvia, Mytilida, Mytilidae.